AUGGUUCCGGCCCAAACCACUCCCAGGGCCCGCCCCCGCCCCGCGCAGGCCCGGGCCCCGCUCCCCUGCGCCGUCACCGCCGAGGACGACGACGACGGCUUCUACGACGCCGCCGCCGGCUCCUCCCCCCCCUCCCCGCUGCCUCCCAAAUCUGGCGAGGACGACGGCUUCUUCGACGCCGCCGACGAAUCCUCCUCCUCCCCGCCGCCUCCCAAGGGGCCGGAAUCGGGUGCCCCCUCCACCGUCGACGUCUCCAGCUCCGACGAGUCUGAGGAUGACGCGCCGCUGGUGGUCCGGAGGCAAGUCAAGGUGGAGAAACCGCCGCAACUCCCAGAUCCAUCAUCCGCCUCCUCUGCCUUCGCCGAUCUGGCUACUCAGGAGGAGGAGGAGUCCGUCGACAAGGGGAACAGCAAAGCCACGGCAGCGACGGUCAGCAAGGAAAUUAAGCCGGAGAAACCACAAUUCCACGGUGAUUCACCAUUCACCUCUGCCUUAACCGAUCUUACUGCUCAGGAGGAGUCUUCUGUCGACAAGGGGAACAGCAAAGCCGCGGCGGCGGCGGUCAGGAAGGAAUCCAAGCUGGAGAAACCACAAGUCCCAGAUUCACCAUUCGACUUCUCCGAUCUUGGUGACGAGGAGGAGGCCAGUGCCAAGUGGAACAGCAAACCCACGGCGGUGGUCAAGAGGGAAGUCAAGGUGGAGAAACCCGACCCAGAUUUAUCGUUCGCCUCUGCUUUCACCGAUCGCCGUGUUCUGGAUGAUGCCAAUGACAAGGGGAAGAAAACCGGGGCAAGUGCUUAUGGCGGUGCCAAGUCGGGCAAGAGGGCAGCAUCAAAGCCCUCAUCCUUUGCGGAUUUUGAUGAAGAUGAUGACGGUGUCAGCGAGGAAAAGGAGAACCGUGCUGCUGAUGACACGGAGAAGGAUGUUGGCUGGGAGAAAACAGAGGAUUUCAAGAUGGAGCCCACCGGGUGCGGCAAAAUGGUCAAGCCCUACAAGCUCCCGGGGAGCAUUUUCAAGAUGCUUUACCCUCACCAGCGCGAGGGCCUCAAGUGGCUCUGGGUUCUGCAUUGCAGGGGAACUGGAGGGAUCCUUGGGGAUGACAUGGGUCUCGGCAAGACCAUGCAGGUUUCUGCCUUCCUGGCUGGAUUAUUCCAUUGCCGUUUAAUCAAGAGAGUGCUAGUGGUUGCGCCAAAGACACUUCUUACUCAUUGGUCCAAGGAACUUUCUGUUGUCGGCCUCAAACAUAAGAUUAGGGAUUACUCUGGUCCCAGCGUAAAUGUUCGCAAUUCUGAGCUUCAAUAUGCAUUCAAGGAGGGCGGCAUCCUUCUAACUACGUAUGACAUUGUCCGUAACAAUUACAAGUUGAUCAGAGGUGACUUCUACAAUGGCAACGUGGAAGGGAAGUAUGACAAGCUCAUCAGAGGUGACUCAUAUAACGAUGCUGAUGAAGAAGAGGAUGGGAAGUUGUGGAACUAUGUUAUUCUUGAUGAGGGACAUAUUAUCAAGAACCCGAGUACUCAACGGGCCAAAAGCUUACUCGAAAUACCGUGUGUCCACCGCAUCGUCAUAAGUGGAACACCUAUUCAAAACAAUUUAAAGGAAAUGUGGGCUCUGUUCUAUUUCUGUUGCCCGGAGAUCUUGGGUGAUAAGGAUGAGUUCAAAUCAAGAUAUGAAUCGGCUAUCAUUCGAGGAAAUGACAAGAAUGCCACCAAUCGAGAGAAGCACACAGGCUCAACUGUUGCAAAGGCAUUAAGGGAGCGUAUAAAGCCAUACUUCUUGCGUCGUAUGAAAAGUGAAGUGUUCCUUGAUACUGGUUCGGCAGAUGAUAAAAAACUUUCCAAGAAGAACGAGCUAAUUGUUUGGCUGAGGUUAACAGCUUGCCAGAGGCAACUAUAUGAAGCUUUUCUGAACAGUGAUCUUGUUCAUUCAUCAAUGCAAGGAUCACCAUUGGCUGCAAUCACGGUAUUGAAGAAAAUAUGCGACCAUCCAUUGAUAUUGACCAAGAGAGCUGCUGAGGACAUCUUGGAAGGCAUGGAAGGCAUGUUGGAUAACAAGGAUAUGGGUAUGGUAGAGAAAAUGGCCAUGAACCUUGCAGACAUGGCUCAUGAUGACCAAGCGCUGCAAGUCGGCGAGGAGGUCUCAUGCAAAUUAAUUUUUAUCAUGUCCUUGUUGCGGAAACUUCUUGAAGAGGGACACCAUGUCCUUAUCUUUUCCCAGACGCGCAAAAUGCUAAACCUUAUUCAGGAAGCUAUAUUACUGGAGGGCUACAAGUUUUUACGCAUUGAUGGUACUACCAAGAUUGCUGAGAGGGAAAGGAUCGUGAAGGACUUCCAAGAGGGGCCUGGAGCACAAAUAUUUUUGCUGACCACACAAGUUGGUGGGCUUGGACUUACACUCACCAAGGCAGCUCGUGUCAUCGUGGUCGAUCCUGCUUGGAAUCCAAGUACGGACAAUCAGAGUGUGGAUCGUGCUUAUCGAAUUGGUCAGACCAAAGAUGUGAUUGUAUACCGCUUGAUGACAUCUGGAACCAUCGAAGAAAAGAUAUACAAAUUGCAGGUUUUCAAGGGCGCUUUGUUUAGAACAGCCACAGAGCAGAAAGAACAAACACGCUACUUCAGCAAGAGGGACAUUCAAGAGCUCUUUAGUCUGCCAGCACAAGGUUUUGAUGUUUCCCUUACACAAAAGCAGUUGCAGGAAGAGCAUGGACAGCAACUUGUCAUGGAUGAGUCACUGAGGGAGCACAUAGAGUUUCUGGAACGACAAGGAAUAGCGGGUGUAAGCCACCACAGCCUCCUAUUUUCCAAAACAGCAGUCUUGCCUUCGUUGGAGCCUGAAGCUAUGGAGAGCAAGCACCCAAGCAUGCCGAUGAUGGCCAGGCAGUACAACAAGGCAUCAUCCUCGAUGGACUAUGUCGCCAACGGCGCUGCCCAUGCUUUCAAGCCAAAGGACUUCACUCCAAGAGCAUACUCUGCAAGCAAUACGAGUUCAGAGAGCCCCGAGGAAAUCAAGGCAAAAAUCAACCGCCUGUCGCAAACCCUUUCAAACACGACGCUGGUGUCGAGGCUGCCUGACCGUGGGGAGAAGCUCAAGAAGCAGAUACACGAUCUGGACGAGAAGCUGACGGUGAUCGAGUCGUCUCCAGAGUCGUCGUCGAUGAUGUCCAGAGGGAGGGCGCCUGAAGUGAUCUGCUUGGAUGAUCAGAGCCUAUAA
This 3210-nucleotide ribosomal RNA is filed under the name Triticum aestivum (bread wheat). RNAcentral's name for it is "partial small subunit ribosomal RNA". Lineage: Eukaryota; Viridiplantae; Streptophyta; Magnoliopsida; Poales; Poaceae. The record is from RNAcentral.